This 2078-nucleotide long non-coding RNA is filed under the name Mus musculus (house mouse). Its description in RNAcentral is "long non-coding RNA chr12:21600863-21602941". The record is from RNAcentral. Lineage: Eukaryota; Metazoa; Chordata; Mammalia; Rodentia; Muridae.
GGCAGGGAAAGGGAGAGGUUACAUUAAUCCCCAUUGUACAGAUAAGGACUUUGCUCUCUUACACAUGGCCCUCUGCCCAGGGCUACCUUUAGCAUUUUAGACAUACCCUAUUUAGUCUCAGAGGUUUGCAUUUCAUCUAUAUUCUCUAGGGGAAAAUAUAUAUUUUUUUCAAAAGAACAAUAUGUAAGAGAAAGAGACAAUAAAAAGUAUCCAUCACAAAAAUCAGGUUGAGGGCUAGAGAUGCUGCUGGACUGGUAGGUGCUGACCAGAAUGCACGAAGCCCUGGGUCCAAUCCCCAGCACAGGGUUAAUCAAGUGUGGCAGGCAGGCCUGAGUUCUGGAAGGUGAAGGAGGGAGGAACAGAGGGUCAAGGUCAUCAUAGGCUACAUAUGAGUUUGAGGCCAGCUUGGAAUAUGUGACAUCUUGCCUUUGAAAAAAAAAGUUAUUCCUUUAGAAGGCAAGGUUGCCCUCCCUUUCUGAUACAGCUCAGUCCUUUGUGUUUGCUUAUUUUUGCUUGCUUGUUUGUUUGUUUGCUUUGUUGUUUUCUCUUUUUGCAUCCCUGGCUAUUUGGUAACUCCCUUUGUAGACAGGGCUGGCCUUGAACUCACAGAGAUCUGCCUGCCUCUGCCACCUGGCUUUUUUUUUUUUUCAUUUUAAGACAGUCUUGCUAAAUUGCUAGAGCCAUUUGGAACUGGCCAUCCCUCUGCCUUGGUUUCCUGUAUGGUCCACCUGGCUCACAGCAUACUCUUUACACAGGUCCUUGUGAGGGAGGCACUUACUGAGGGCAGAGGAGCUGAGAGGCCCAGGCUCAAACUGCAUCCAGCCACUUGUCCUCCCCAACCUCCCAUCUCCUCAUGGGUAAUCUUCCUUUGGCUCUUGCAGUCAAGAGGUAAGAACACUCUAAAGUGCUCAGCUCAGCCUCUAGCUUGUCCUUAGUGGCCAAGCACAAUGGCUGUUGCUACUGAAUGACUCUUGUGAACUUUCCUCUUAAUAACAAUUAUUGUUGAUUAUCCCCUUUUCAUUCAUUUUGUUCUAUCUUGCACAUUCUCAAGCUGAGGUUCCAGAAAACCAGGUAAGAGUUUGGCAUGGUGCGUGCUGGAAGCUCUCCUACCCUGACUGAUGGCCUUCCAAUCUGAUGACUUCUGCACUACUGGGCUUAGCUGUUGCUCUCCCAGAGAGCAGACCUCUGCCAUAACUGUAGUCCUUAUUUGUAGACAAGUAAGGCAGGCGAUACACAUCAAGGUGAAGCUGUUAGGAGACAGAUGACUCUCUUGGGUUCUGGGCCUCAGACCAGGAACCUGCUCCUCUUUUUCCUGACACUAAGAAUCUCAGUCUUUUCCUCCUCCCACAGCAAGCACAUUCCCAAUGCAGCCGCUCCCAGUCCCCACUCCACCCCAAGAGCCAGCCUCGGUCCUCCUUCUGAGAGAAUCAGAAGAAAAUGGCCACAAUUCCUAUUCUUCUCCCAAGGUUCCUGACAGAGUCCCUAGGCCUGUGACCUACCUUCAGCAGGUGCAAGUAACAGAAUCCAUGCAGGAAGGGAGGCCAGGUGGGGCCAGGCCACUCAUGGCCCAGGGUCCGGAUGAGGUGGGAGAUGUAGCUUGUGGCCAGAAUGAGUGCAUCCAACUUAUAAAUGUUGGUGUCAGGUAGUACUGCAGGGUCAGAAAGGCUUGACAAAGUGUCCAUUCCCAAGCUGGGUUCUCCGGGCUGGAAUCACUCUGCAGAGAGGAUCCAUGACUGCAGAUUCCCAUCUAACCAUGGCUUCUUGUUAUUGUUGCUAUUGUUGGAACAGAGUUUCAUGUAGCCCAGACUAUACCUGAAAUUCCUGUUUAGUCCAGGAUGACCUUUUACUCAGAAUCUGACUGCCUCCCCCUCCUAAGUGCUGGGAUUGUAGGGACAUACCUGGUUGACCCUGACUUCCACUGGCCCAUUAGUACCAUGUCUUCUGCUGGAACUAAUGAGCCUCACUACAUCUAAGCCAUGCCUCAUAAUACAAAUUAAGGAAGCCUAGGCUGGGAUCAGAUAACUAGAAGGUGGCAGCACUUGGCUCAGAACCCCAUUUUUCUUUCUAUUAUUGCAUUA